RNAcentral lists this ribosomal RNA (243 nucleotides) under uncultured bacterium. RNAcentral's name for it is "partial 16S ribosomal RNA". It matches the Rfam family "Bacterial small subunit ribosomal RNA", at positions 15 to 240 of the family's 1533-position model. The record is from RNAcentral.
GAUCCUGGCUCAGGACAAACGCUGGCGGCGUGCUUAACACAUGCAAGUCGAACGGAGUACCCGAGACAGAAGCUUCGGCAGACGUUUUGGAAUACUUAGUGGCGGACGGGUGAGUAACACGUGAGUAACCUGCCCCUGAGUGGGGGAUAACACACCGAAAGGUGUGCUAAUACCGCAUAAUAUACCUUUGCCGCAUGGCAGAGGUAUCAAAGAUUUAUUGCUCAGGGAUGGACUCGCGUCCGA